This 207-nucleotide ribosomal RNA is filed under the name uncultured bacterium. Its description in RNAcentral is "partial 16S ribosomal RNA". It matches the Rfam family "Bacterial small subunit ribosomal RNA", at positions 568 to 774 of the family's 1533-position model. The record is from RNAcentral.
CGUGUAGGCGGACCGGAAAGUCGGGCGUGAAAUCCCUGGGCUCAACCCAGGAACUGCACCCGAAACUUCCGGCCUUGAGUGGUGGAGAGGGUAGUGGAAUUCCUGGUGUAGGGGUGAAAUUCGUAGAUAUCAGGAGGAACACCGGUGGCGAAGGCGGCUACCUGGACACUAACUGACGCUGAGACGCGAAAGCGUGGGGAGCAAACA